Molecule: long non-coding RNA, 1541 nt
Filed under: Manduca sexta (tobacco hornworm)
Lineage: Eukaryota; Metazoa; Arthropoda; Insecta; Lepidoptera; Sphingidae
Description: uncharacterized LOC119193244
Source: RNAcentral
AUUACAUUAUAUUAAAUACAGGUAAAAUUCUCAGGCGAUCUUAUUUAUAAUUUUAAAUCUAAAAUUUUGCACAGGCAAAACCGCGUGCAAUAGUAGUGACAUUAACGUAAUGUGAUGAAACUUACUUUUUACCUUAGACCCAACAGGGUAUUGAGCUGGCAACGUCCCAUAGGUUCACUUCACGACCUUGACGACGGUCAAUAGGAAGAGCGGCAACGUCGGUUGUAAUAUGUCAAAUCAUAAAUAAGGCUUCUAUCAAAUACUCAUAACAAUGGAGGUACACGAGUGUACUUUGUUUACCGUUGUUUACUUUUCUUGACGUAAGUGAAGACGCUAUUUCAAGAAAUUUGAAGUGCUAAUUCAUUAAAAUAUGUACGCUUUCAUGACUGUGCCUCAACUUAAAGUUGAGGUUCGUAAAAUGCGUCAAUUGCCGGAAAAAAGGCUAAUUUGAUAGAAAGAUUGCAAUCUAAUGACCGGAAUAAAAAUUUUGGUGUUGACUGCGAGAUCCAAGAGGAGAUCGCAUAUCUGAGUCCAGCCACUGAUACUUUCAGAGACAUAAUUGCGGACACUUCUUUACCAAUGAUUACGAGACAAGCAAUACAGGAAUAUUUUGAAAGUUAUGUACCCAUAUGUAAUGAUUAUAAUCUUAGGCAGUUGUUUACAAAGAUGACAGUGUAAAUUUUAUGUAUUUAAAUUGAUAUAAUACUCAGCAUAAAGGACAACUCCUGUACGAAUUUCGACAUCUUGUGACUGCCCGCUAUUCCACAGAUGGCAUUUAUACCCACUUGCGAGGACAAUGUAAAGCCAGUAUGAAAAAAAUGGUAUACUUUGUGGAUAUAAAAUUAAGUAAAGAUGGAGUAAUUGAAGAAUGCCAUUGCGAUUGUGCUGCAGGCAGUGGUACUCAAGCAUGUUGCAAACAUGUCUCUGUAUUGUUGGAUGGUACACAAAAAAAAUAUUAAAUUGCAUCUGUCAAGUACUCAAAAAUUAAUGACAUUCAAUAGACCCAAGAAAGUAUUUUAUAAUUCACCCAUUGCAGCUCAAAAUUUACCCAACAAGAGAUUGAAAUCUUGUACUUAUAACACACUAAAAGAUACUUACUGAUAUUAUGGACAGUUAUGCUGAUUAUGUGAAAAUUUUAGUAAUGGGAUAUGAUGAAAGCUCAAUACCUUUAUUACAGACAUGUGAACCCGCAAAUCCACAUGGCAUUGAAUGGGAUCGUUACACCUAUGUAGAUAGGACUCCAAUAGAUAUUUUACUAGAGAAGCUAUUAUUAAAAAUAUUAUAUCUGAACAAAUUCAGGAAGUGAGAAGAAUACAAGAGCCCAAAGUGAUUCCUCUGAGUGGCAUGAAAGAUCAUGCAGGAUUACUGCCAGUAUGUUUCAUUUAGUGUGCCACAGUAAAGCAUAUAAGUACCAAAAAUAUAUGUAAUCGAUAUGAUUUUGGCCCCAAAGCUGUGCAGACUAUGUUAGUUGUGCAUAGUAAAAUCCAAGAAACUAUUUCCAUUGCCAAAUAUGAUAGAGAUUAUGGACUAAAAAUAAAAAA